UUUAUUUAAAACAUGUAAAUGCCAUCAAUAUAAACUGAGAAUUUAAGUAAAAGACAAAACUGCGCGAAAGGCCCAUGUGGUAUGUCGAAAAUUACCACUUUGGUCCAAAAAAGUUUGGACUAGCACCAGUAGUCCAAAACUUUGAUUUUGUUGCGAAUUUGGUCCAACUUGUUUUAAAACGUUUUAUAAGACAAAGCUGCAAAAUUGGUCCCUGUGGUAUUCAAAAAAGUUUGGAUAGGUUCCAAAAAGUGUUCAACUUACAUGGAUGGUCCAAAAUCAAGGUUAUUCUUUGGUUUUGGUUCUGAAUGUCUAUUUUACCCUUUUUAUUUCUUUUUUUCUAUUUUUUAUUUAGUUUAGUAUUUAAAAAAUUAUAAAAAAAAUAAAAAAAAUAUCACCUACUCCUCUCCACGACUCCACCCACGGUACUCUUUCUCUCUUUCUCUCUCUCUCUCUCUCUCUCUCUCUCUCUCUCUCUCUCUCUCUCUCUCUCUCUUCUUCUUCUUCUUCUUUUUCUUCUUCUUCUUUUUCUUCUUCUUCUUCUUCUUCUUCUUCUUCUUCCUCUUCACCUGCAAAUCACAAAGGAAAAUAAAAAAAACUUGAUUUUUUUCUACAGAUUACACGCAUAAUGAGACCCCCAAAAACAUGGUUCUUCAAUUUAUUUUGCUCACCUUCAAUAGCCAACUCCUAUUCUUCAGUGAUCAAACACAAAAACCGCAUUUUAGAAUCUCUCUCUCUCUCUCUCUCUCUCUCUCACUCACGUGUUUCUCCCAAGCCCUAGAUUAGUUCUCCUUCUUCCCUGUUAUUGCAAUUGAAGAUGGUAGUCGACUACAUUUGCAUCUUUUUUCUUUACUUCCUUUAAUAUUUCCCAAAAUAGAGAGUUGAGCGGGGGUGUUCGUCUCCGGUGAGAUUUUCCAGCGAAUAUAGGAGGAAGAUGAUACAUUUCGAUGUUGAAUAUGGAGGAAAUAUGAGGGAGGACAUGUAGCCGGCAGUCAUUGUACCUCUCGAUUUGGAAGAGCUGAGAAAUCAAACCCAAUCAAGACCCUGUGUCCCUUAUUUAGUGUAUGCAGAUCUAUAACCCUCUAUCUUCAUGUACCAUUAAUCUGGAACACGUCAAUUCUUCAUCAUCCAGGUAACAAGCGUCGUCCGAGAAGUCCACUGUGAACCAUCUUCAUUUACCACCGGAGACAACCUCCCUCGCCUUCUUCUCUCAUCUACUCAAAUCAGUUAUGGCUUCCGAUCGAUUUAUCUAUUUUCUAAAAUGAACUAGAAACAAUUGACUUUCAUACUAUUUGGAAACAAUCGAUGUUCUCAAAAUCAAAAUGAUAAAAUUUGGGUGUGUCUCUAUUUAUUUGGAUUUAGGUGAAAUGGAGGGUGGGUUCUUGUGAUACAUACAAUACUCUGUGUAUAUGUGUGUGUGUGAUAGAGAGAGAGAGAGGGCGAGGAAGAAGAAGAUGAG
Molecule: long non-coding RNA, 1456 nt
Filed under: Lactuca sativa (garden lettuce)
Lineage: Eukaryota; Viridiplantae; Streptophyta; Magnoliopsida; Asterales; Asteraceae
Description: long non-coding RNA (LSAT_LNC005571)
Source: RNAcentral